AAUCCUUCCUCCGCCUCUUCGAUCUCUCUCUACGCUUCAUAUCCCUCAUUCUCUCGCGUCCCCGCCUCCUUCCUCUGUCACCCCGCAGGGCACGGAGGUCCGGCAGAUUCGCACCGAACUCUCUCAGAUCUCUUUCCGAUCUAAAAGGAUCUUCUUCUCCUCCUCCCCCUCGCCAUCACGCGAUCGAUCGGAGGAGCUCGCAGGCCCCUGCGCCCUCACCCCAACGCUCGCGCCGUGUUAGACGAAAUGCCGAGGCGAUUGCAGGGCGCUUCGCAGGCAUCAGAGAGGUGGGGCUCGGCGCUGGGAUGGUGGGCGCGGAGGUCCUGCAGAUCCGCACCGAACUCUCUCAGAUCUCUUUCUGAUCUGAAAGGAUCUUCUUCUCCUCCUCCCCCUCGCCAUCACGCGAUCGAUCGGAGGAGCUCGCAGGCCCUUGCGCCCUCUCCCUAACGCUCGCGCCCUGUUCGACGAAAUGCCGAGGUGAUUGCAGGGUGCUUCGCAGGCAUCGGAGAGGUGGGGCUCGGCGCUGGGAUGGUGGUAAAUGUUAUUCCUUUACAUAUAUAUGUCUGAUCAUGUAAAUAGAGGUAUAAAUUAGCAACUCUAGGUAAAACUCUUUCCUUUCCCCUUUCCUGCAGCAUGGUUUA
Molecule: long non-coding RNA, 641 nt
Organism: Ananas comosus (pineapple)
Lineage: Eukaryota; Viridiplantae; Streptophyta; Magnoliopsida; Poales; Bromeliaceae
Exons: 2
Source: RefSeq, a predicted model, not a curated record